CGCUAAUGAUCUCCCUAUCUACGUUUUUUUUGAGCAAAACAAGCAACUCUGGCCACCGCGUUUCAGCAGCAGACAGAGUAAUGAAAAAAGUCGGCAGGCCGAACUGACGAAUCAUGGCCAUAACCUUCUUCUUUUCAUCCUCCCAGUGAGCCGGAGACGAUCGAAUAUCGCGAAGAACCCUAUAUCCCUCAUCGUGGUUAAUAAGCCCCCCUAUGAAAUUCUCAUUAAGAGCGUUAGCUGCCGUUACUGCACUGGAAGUGCUCCGCUUACUUUGUCAGUUCUACAACCUCUCCUAUCUACAUUUCGAAGCUCUGAUCUAACAAUGGUUGUAAAACUUUGCGAAGAUUGUCUUUUGACGCCUGCAUAAAUUGUGGGAAAGGAUAACUCUUCCGAGUCAAUGUCUAGAAUCAUGUCGAGAGGUCGUUGGCCUUGACCUGGUGCGAUUUUGAUAAUCCUAUCAUCAAAUGGCUGCGUCUGCUUGAGAUGCUACGAAUGGAACAAUAUCGGAUGUGAAACCAGAGAUCCAUUGCUCGUUAACUACAACAUUAUGCUUUUUAUACAAAUCUGUGGUAACUAAAUAACGAAGUGCUUCAAAAAUUUUGGAAGGUCUAAUGGUUUCAGCCAUGAAAGCAUGAAGAUACUCUUUUCUGCGUUUGAGGUGGAGCUGAAUUACCUGUGCUUCAUGGAAAGCUCGUGGAAGCUCCUUCACGAUAUCGCUUACCGAAAUAGGGAGGUUU
Molecule: long non-coding RNA, 737 nt
Organism: Drosophila pseudoobscura
Lineage: Eukaryota; Metazoa; Arthropoda; Insecta; Diptera; Drosophilidae
Exons: 3
Source: RefSeq, a predicted model, not a curated record